CUGAUUUUAGUGAUCAUCAAAUGUUUACACUAAUUAUUAACCUGUGUGUUCUGUUUGUUUAACACCAAGUAUUAACCUAUUUGUUCUGUUCCUAAAAUGUUAUUGGUUUACACUAAGCAUUUACCUAUGUGUUCUGUUCCUAAAACGAUAUGUGUUUAAACUAAGUAUUUACCUAAGUGUUCUGCUCCUUAAACAGUAUUUGUUUACACUAGAAGAAUUUAACUAUGUGUUCUGUUCCUAAAAUGGUAUUUGUUUACUCUAAAUAUAAGCCUAUGUGUUCUGUUCCUAAAAUGGUAUUUGUUUGAGAUUUACCACGAUUCUAAUACAGGAUGAUCAGGAUCACAACAAUAUACAUAAUAAGAGGUCACAAACUUGGUGGAUUGGAAAUCACAGUGACAUGUUUUGGGUGAA
Molecule: long non-coding RNA, 411 nt
Organism: Ruditapes philippinarum (Manila clam)
Lineage: Eukaryota; Metazoa; Mollusca; Bivalvia; Venerida; Veneridae
Exons: 2
Source: RefSeq, a predicted model, not a curated record